RNAcentral lists this long non-coding RNA (253 nucleotides) under Populus trichocarpa (black cottonwood). RNAcentral's name for it is "long non-coding RNA (PTRI_LNC001251)". Lineage: Eukaryota; Viridiplantae; Streptophyta; Magnoliopsida; Malpighiales; Salicaceae. The record is from RNAcentral.
UAUGGCUGCCGAAGUUCUUGCCCUUUGCUACUUUAACUUAUUUCAAUGAAUUCUUGCAAAAAUUUACAAAAAUCAUGUCCUCCUCUUCCAAUUUCCAGCUUCUUCCCUUUGUUUCUCUCAAGCUCUAUAACUCUCUAAUUUGUCACUUAAUUUGUUUUCUUGGAUAUAAUCCUCCUAAGAACACUCCCUUUUGAUUUAGCUUGAAGAAAUGAAGAGAAAAUGAAGAAAAUGGGACAAAACAAAUGGUCUCCCU